GACGAACGCUGGCGGCGUGCUUAACACAUGCAAGUCGAACGGAAAGGCCCUGCUUUUGUGGGGUGCUCGAGUGGCGAACGGGUGAGUAACACGUGAGUAACCUGCCCUUGACUUUGGGAUAACUUCAGGAAACUGGGGCUAAUACCGGAUAGGAGCUCCUGCUGCAUGGUGGGGGUUGGAAAGUUUCGGCGGUUGGGGAUGGACGCGCGGCUUAUCAGCUUGUUGGUGGGGUAGUGGCUUACCAAGGCUUUGACGGGUAGCCGGCCUGAGAGGGUGACCGGCCACAUUGGGACUGAGAUACGGCCCAGACUCCUACGGGAGGCAGCAGUGGGGAAUAUUGCACAAUGGGCGGAAGCCUGAUGCAGCAACGCCGCGUGCGGGAUGACGGCCUUCGGGUUGUAAACCGCUUUCGCCUGUGACGAAGCGUGAGUGACGGUAAUGGGUAAAGAAGCGCCGGCUAACUACGUGC
RNAcentral lists this ribosomal RNA (469 nucleotides) under uncultured bacterium. RNAcentral's name for it is "partial 16S ribosomal RNA". It matches the Rfam family "Bacterial small subunit ribosomal RNA", at positions 28 to 508 of the family's 1533-position model. The record is from RNAcentral.